GAUGAGCGCUGGCGGCGUGCCUAAUACAUGCAAGUCGAGCGGUAAGGCCCCUUCGGGGGUACACGAGCGGCGGACGGCUGAGUAACACGUAGGAACGUACCCCAAAGUGAGGGAUAAAUGCUCGCAAGAGUAGCUAAUACCGCAUGUGAUCCACGGAUUAAAGCUUUAUGCGCUGUGGGAACGGCCUGCGUCCGAUUAGUUUGUUGGUGAGGUAAUAGCUCACCAAGGCGAUGAUCGGUAGCUGGUCUGAGAGGAUGAUCAGCCAGACUGGGACUGAGACACGGCCCAGACUCCUACGGGAGGCAGCAGUAGGGAAUUUUCCACAAUGGGCGAAAGCCUGAUGGAGCAACGCCGCGUGCAGGAUGAAUGCCUUAGGGUUGUAAACUGCUUUUAAUAGUGACGAUUAUGACGGUAACUAUUGAAUAAGGACCUGCUAACCACGUGCCAGCAGCCGCGGUAA
This 460-nucleotide ribosomal RNA is filed under the name uncultured bacterium. Its description in RNAcentral is "partial 16S ribosomal RNA". It matches the Rfam family "Bacterial small subunit ribosomal RNA", at positions 28 to 523 of the family's 1533-position model. The record is from RNAcentral.